This 271-nucleotide ribosomal RNA is filed under the name uncultured bacterium. RNAcentral's name for it is "partial 16S ribosomal RNA". It matches the Rfam family "Bacterial small subunit ribosomal RNA", at positions 1231 to 1500 of the family's 1533-position model. The record is from RNAcentral.
UGGCGAAAACAGAGGGAAGCAAGCCGGUGACGGUAAGCAAACCCCAAAAAUAUCGUCUCAGUUCGGACUGUAGUCUGCAACUCGACUACACGAAGCCGGAAUCGCUAGUAAUCGCGAAUCAGAAUGUCGCGGUGAAUACGUUCCCGGGUCUUGUACACACCGCCCGUCACACCAUGGGAGUCGGAAAUGCCCGAAGUCAGUGACCUAACCUUUAAGGGAGGAGCUGCCGAAGGUGGAGCCGGUAACUGGGGUGAAGUCGUAACAAGGUAGC